Non-coding RNA from Arachis ipaensis, 248 nucleotides. The record is from RefSeq and is a predicted model, not a curated record. Lineage: Eukaryota; Viridiplantae; Streptophyta; Magnoliopsida; Fabales; Fabaceae.
UAAUGGUGUUAUGUUUUCAAAUUCAAAUCAACUAAUCAAGCUUCUAUGAUUUUGAACAAAAAAUGGCAAUGGCUCCGUUCAAAAAGCCUCAAAUUCCCGAUCUCAAUUUUCCCGCACCACGCGAGGAUGAAGCUGGAUCCUCUCAGAUGCUCACCAUGCCAGCCACCAAAAGAAAGGCAGUUCAUCAGGCCUAUCAGAGUGGGGGCAAAAGGUUUAAGGUGAGUGAGGGCACUGCAAACUUUUCCAAG